This 72-nucleotide transfer RNA is filed under the name bacterium. RNAcentral's name for it is "tRNA-Val". It matches the Rfam family "tRNA". Rfam says of the family: Transfer RNA (tRNA) molecules are approximately 80 nucleotides in length. The record is from RNAcentral.
GGGCAUUUAGCUCAGUGGAAGAGCGUUCCGUUCACAGCGGAAAGGCCGCUGGUUCGAUCCCAGCAAUGCCCA